This 1012-nucleotide ribosomal RNA is filed under the name uncultured bacterium. Its description in RNAcentral is "bacterial SSU rRNA". It matches the Rfam family "Bacterial small subunit ribosomal RNA", at positions 356 to 1376 of the family's 1533-position model. The record is from RNAcentral.
GGGGAAUAUUGCACAAUGGGCGCAAGCCUGAUGCAGCGACGCCGCGUGCGGGAUGACGGCCUUCGGGUUGUAAACCGCUUUUGAUCGGGAGCAAGCCUUCGGGUGAGUGUACCUUUCGAAUAAGCACCGGCUAACUACGUGCCAGCAGCCGCGGUAAUACGUAGGGUGCAAGCGUUAUCCGGAAUUAUUGGGCGUAAAGGGCUCGUAGGCGGUUCGUCGCGUCCGGUGUGAAAGUCCAUCGCUUAACGGUGGAUCUGCGCCGGGUACGGGCGGGCUGGAGUGCGGUAGGGGAGACUGGAAUUCCCGGUGUAACGGUGGAAUGUGUAGAUAUCGGGAAGAACACCAAUGGCGAAGGCAGGUCUCUGGGCCGUUACUGACGCUGGGGAGCGAAAGCGUGGGGAGCGAACAGGAUUAGAUACCCUGGUAGUCCACGCCGUAAACGGUGGAUGCUGGAUGUGGGGCCCGUUCCACGGGUUCCGUGUCGGAGCUAACGCGUUAAGCAUCCCGCCUGGGGAGUACGGCCGCAAGGCUAAAACUCAAAGAAAUUGACGGGGGCCCGCACAAGCGGCGGAGCAUGCGGAUUAAUUCGAUGCAACGCGAAGAACCUUACCUGGGCUUGACAUGUUCCCGACAGCCGUAGAGAUAUGGCCUCCCUUCGGGGCGGGUUCACAGGUGGUGCAUGGUCGUCGUCAGCUCGUGUCGUGAGAUGUUGGGUUAAGUCCCGCAACGAGCGCAACCCUCGCCCUGUGUUGCCAGCACGCCAUGGUGGGAACUCACGGGGGACCGCCGGGGUCAACUCGGAGGAAGGUGGGGAUGACGUCAGAUCAUCAUGCCCCUUACGUCCAGGGCUUCACGCAUGCUACAAUGGCCGGUACAACGGGAUGCGACACGGCGACGUGGAGCGGAUCCCUGAAAACCGGUCUCAGUUCGGAUUGGAGUCUGCAACCCGACUCCAUGAAGGCGGAGUCGCUAGUAAUCGCGGAUCAGCAACGCCGCGGUGAAUGCGUUCCCG